AGAACGAACGCUGGCGGCAGGCCUCAAACAUGCAAGUCUAGGGGGUGUAGCAAUACAUCACCGGCGGACGGGUGCGUAACGCGUGGGAAUAUACCUAUUGGUUCGGAACAACUGAGGGAAACUUCAGCUAAUACCGAAUAAGUCCUUACGGAGAAAGAUUUAUCGCCAAUAGAUUAGCCCGCGUUCGAUUAGCUAGUUGGUGGGGUAACGGCCCACCAAGGCGACGAUCGAUAGCUGUUCUGAGAGGAAGAUCAGCCACACUGGGACUGAGACACGGCCCAGACUCCUACGGGAGGCAGCAGUUGGGAAUCUUGGACAAUGGGGGAAACCCUGAUCCAGCCAUGCCGCGUGAGUGAUGAAGGCCUUGGGUUGUAAACUCUUUCGCGCACGACGAUAAUGACGGUAGUGCGAGAAGAAGCUCCGGCUAACUUCGCGCCAGCAGCCGC
This 446-nucleotide ribosomal RNA is filed under the name uncultured bacterium. RNAcentral describes it as "SSU rRNA". It matches the Rfam family "Bacterial small subunit ribosomal RNA", at positions 26 to 518 of the family's 1533-position model. The record is from RNAcentral.